Molecule: ribosomal RNA, 429 nt
Filed under: uncultured bacterium
Lineage: Bacteria
Description: bacterial SSU rRNA
Rfam family: Bacterial small subunit ribosomal RNA
Source: RNAcentral
UGGGGAAUUUUGGACAAUGGGGGCAACCCUGAUCCAGCAAUGCCGCGUGAGUGAAGAAGGCCUUCGGGUUGUAAAGCUCUUUUGUCAGGGAAGAAACGGUGAGUGCUAAUAUCAUUCGCUAAUGACGGUACCUGAAGAAUAAGCACCGGCUAACUACGUGCCAGCAGCCGCGGUAAUACGUAGGGUGCAAGCGUUAAUCGGAAUUACUGGGCGUAAAGCGUGCGCAGGCGGUUAUGCAAGACAGAUGUGAAAUACCUGGGCUCAACCUGGGAAUGGCAUUUGUGACUGCAUAGCUAGAGUGUGUCAGAGGGGGGUAGAAUUCCACGUGUAGCAGUGAAAUGCGUAGAGAUGUGGAGGAAUACCGAUGGCGAAGGCAGCCCCCUGGGAUAACACUGACGCUCAUGCACGAAAGCGUGGGGAGCAAACAGG